UACGUAGGGUGCGAGCGUUGUCCGGAAUUAUUGGGCGUAAAGAGCUUGUAGGCGGUUUGUCGCGUCUGCCGUGAAAGCCCAGGGCUUAACCCUGGGUCUGCGGUGGGUACGGGCAGACUAGAGUGUGGUAGGGGAGACUGGAAUUCCUGGCGUAGCGGUGAAAUGCGCAGAUAUCAGGAGGAACACCGAUGGCGAAGGCAGGUCUCUGGGCCACUACUGACGCUGAGAAGCGAAAGCAUGGGGAGCGAACCGG
RNAcentral lists this ribosomal RNA (253 nucleotides) under uncultured bacterium. Its description in RNAcentral is "partial 16S ribosomal RNA". It matches the Rfam family "Bacterial small subunit ribosomal RNA", at positions 524 to 776 of the family's 1533-position model. The record is from RNAcentral.